Helicoverpa zea (corn earworm) is the source of this 629-nucleotide long non-coding RNA. RefSeq lists it as uncharacterized. The record is from RefSeq and is a predicted model, not a curated record. Lineage: Eukaryota; Metazoa; Arthropoda; Insecta; Lepidoptera; Noctuidae. The transcript has 2 exons.
GUCAACCGUCCCGGCGGUCCCGGUCAUGGGCAGUUCACAUCCAUCCAUUGACCUACCUUUAAAUCGUCGGUCCACCGCCCACCGUGCAGCAGGAUUUUCUUUAUAUUAUCACAAAAUGGACCGGUUCCCCUGCCACAAUUUGGUCCAAUCCCUCCGUCACCUUAUCCUGGCUGGAAUUCUCCGGGACCAAGACCUCGCCCUUGGCGCCCUGGCAAUCGUCGACCAAGACCAUUUCGUCCUAACAACCGGCGACCAUGGCUUAAACGGCGACCAGGACAGAUGCGACCCCAACCAGGACCAAAUAACUAUUAUGGGCAACCUCCCUAUGGCUAUGGGUUGUCGCAAUCAUUAUUGUAAUGUGACUAGUUUUCAUCAGCGGUUUCUCCCGCGUCCCUGGGGACUACUUUAUGCAUCUGGAUAAAAAGUAGCUUUCUUCAAUAGAUGGGCUAACAUACCUAUAUUAUAUUUUCAUAUCAGCCCGUAGUUUUUGAUUAACUCGUUCAAAUAAACAAAUUCUUCAGAUUUUUAUAAUAAUUAUACCUAAGUGUAGAUGUGCUGAACCUAACAUGGAUUAUUUUUUGUGUGCUUUUGUAAUGAAAUAAAUAUUUAAGUACCUAAGAACUUAAAAA